GACGAACGCUGGCGGCGUGCCUAAUACAUGCCAGUUGAGCGCUGAAGGUUGGUACUUGUACCAACUGGAUGAGCAGCGAACGGGUGAGUAACGCGUGGGGAAUCUGCCUUUGAGCGGGGGACAACAUUUGGAAACGAAUGCUAAUACCGCAUAAAAACUUUAAACACAAGUUUUAAGUUUGAAAGAUGCAAUUGCAUCACUCAAAGAUGAUCCCGCGUUGUAUUAGCUAGUUGGUGAGGUAAAGGCUCACCAAGGCGAUGAUACAUAGCCGACCUGAGAGGGUGAUCGGCCACAUUGGGACUGAGACACGGCCCAAACUCCUACGGGAGGCAGCAGUAGAGAAUCUUCGGCAAUGGACGAAAGUCUGACCGAGCAACGCCGCGUGAGUGAAGAAGGUUUUCGGAUCGUAAAACUCUGUUGGUAGAGAAGAACGUUGGUGAGAGUGGAAAGCUCAUCAAGUGACGGUAACUACCCAGAAAGGGACGGCUAACUACGUG
This 497-nucleotide ribosomal RNA is filed under the name uncultured bacterium. Its description in RNAcentral is "partial 16S ribosomal RNA". It matches the Rfam family "Bacterial small subunit ribosomal RNA", at positions 28 to 507 of the family's 1533-position model. The record is from RNAcentral.